GGCUUAGAGUUUGAUCAUGGCUCAGGACGAACGCUGGCGGCGCGCCUAACACAUGCAAGUCGAACGGAAUGCGGAGAGGAUUUAUCUUUUCUGUGUUUAGUGGCGAACGGGUGAGUAACGCGUGAGGAACCUGCCUCAAAGAGGGGGACAACAGUUGGAAACGACUGCUAAUACCGCAUAAGCCCACGGUCUCGCAUGGGACAGAGGGAAAAGGAGCAAUCCGCUUUGAGAUGGCCUCGCAUCCGAUUAGCUAGUUGGUGAGGUAACGGCCCACCAAGGCGACGAUCGGUAGCCGGACUGAGAGGUUGAACGGCCACAUUGGGACUGAGACACGGCCCAGACUCCUACGGGAGGCAGCAGUGGGGAAUAUUGCACAAUGGGGGAAACCCUGAUGCAGCGACGCCGCGUGGAGGAAGAAGGUCUUCGGAUUGUAAACUCCUGUUGUUGGGGAAAAAGAGGAUGGUACCCAACAAGGAAGUGACGGCUAACUACGUGCCAGCAGCCGCGGUAAAACGUAGGUCACGAGCGUUGUCCGGAAUUACUGGGUGUAAAGGGAGCGCAGGCGGGUAUGCAAGUUGGGAGUGAAAUGCAUGGGCUCAACCCAUGAACUGCUCUCAAAACUGUGUAUCUUGAGUAGUGCAGAGGUAGGCG
RNAcentral lists this ribosomal RNA (651 nucleotides) under uncultured organism. Its description in RNAcentral is "bacterial SSU rRNA". It matches the Rfam family "Bacterial small subunit ribosomal RNA", at positions 1 to 663 of the family's 1533-position model. The record is from RNAcentral.